This 301-nucleotide ribosomal RNA is filed under the name uncultured bacterium. RNAcentral describes it as "partial 16S ribosomal RNA". It matches the Rfam family "Bacterial small subunit ribosomal RNA", at positions 509 to 809 of the family's 1533-position model. The record is from RNAcentral.
CAGUAGCCGCGGUAAUACGUAGGGCGCGAGCGUUAAUCGGAAUUACUGGGCGUAAAGCGUGCGCAGGCGGUUUUGUAAGACAGGCGUGAAAUCCCCGGGCUCAACCUGGGAAUGGCGCUUGUGACUGCAAAGCUAGAGUGCGGCAGAGGGGGAUGGAAUUCCGCGUGUAGCAGUGAAAUGCGUAGAUAUGCGGAGGAACACCGAUGGCGAAGGCAAUCCCCUGGGCCUUCACUGACGCUCAUGCACGAAAGCGUGGGGAGCAAACAGGAUUAGAGACCCCCGUAGUCCCUGUCUCUUAUAA